CCUUGUACACACCGCCCGUNACACCAUGGGGGGGUGGGUUCCACCAGAAGUAGUUAGCCUAAACCCGCAAGGAGGGCACUACCACGGUGAGAUUCAUGACUGGGGUG
Molecule: ribosomal RNA, 107 nt
Filed under: uncultured bacterium
Lineage: Bacteria
Description: partial 16S ribosomal RNA
Source: RNAcentral